GCUUACGGCCACACCACCCUGAACACGCCCGAUCUCGUCCGAUCUCAGAAGCUAAGCAGGGUCGGGCCUGGUUAGUACUUGGAUGGGAGACCACCUGGGAAUGCCAGGUGCUGUAAGCU
Molecule: ribosomal RNA, 119 nt
Filed under: Echeneis naucrates (live sharksucker)
Lineage: Eukaryota; Metazoa; Chordata; Actinopteri; Carangiformes; Echeneidae
Source: RNAcentral